AGUGCGUCGUAGUCCGGAUUGGAGUCUGCAACUCGACUCCAUGAAGUCGGAAUCGCUAGUAAUCGUGGAUCAGAAUGCCACGGUGAAUACGUUCCCGGGCCUUGUACACACCGCCCGUCACACCAUGGGAGUGGGUUGCAAAAGAAGUAGGUAGCUUAACCUUCGGGAGGGCGCUUACCACUUUGUGAUUCAUGACUGGGGUGAAGUCGUAACAAGGUAACCGUAGGGGAACCUGCGGUUGGAUCACCUCCUUACCUUAAAGAA
Molecule: ribosomal RNA, 264 nt
Filed under: Salmonella enterica subsp. enterica serovar Paratyphi B
Lineage: Bacteria; Pseudomonadati; Pseudomonadota; Gammaproteobacteria; Enterobacterales; Enterobacteriaceae
Also listed under: 1 other name
Description: partial 16S ribosomal RNA
Rfam family: Bacterial small subunit ribosomal RNA
Source: RNAcentral